UUUCUUACUGAAAAAUUAAUUGUAAGUACCUCCUGCUCCAUGAAUUCUUAAAUAGCCGCGGAAAUUUAACCGUGCUAAGGUAGCAUAAUCAUUAGCCUCUUAAUUAGAGGCCAGUAUGAAUGGAGAAACAUUUCAAUUUCUUUAUUAAUUAAUUUUCUUUAAAUUUAAACCAAGAAUAAAAAUGUUCUUAUAUUUAAAAAAGACGAUAAGACCCUUUUGAACUUUACUGAAGUUUAG
Molecule: ribosomal RNA, 237 nt
Filed under: Larinioides cornutus
Lineage: Eukaryota; Metazoa; Arthropoda; Arachnida; Araneae; Araneidae
Description: partial 16S ribosomal RNA
Source: RNAcentral